RNAcentral lists this transfer RNA (72 nucleotides) under Bos taurus (domestic cattle). It matches the Rfam family "tRNA". Rfam says of the family: Transfer RNA (tRNA) molecules are approximately 80 nucleotides in length. Their secondary structure includes four short double-helical elements and three loops (D, anti-codon, and T loops). Further hydrogen bonds mediate the characteristic L-shaped molecular structure. tRNAs have two regions of fundamental functional importance: the anti-codon, which is responsible for specific mRNA codon recognition, and the 3' end, to which the tRNAs corresponding amino acid is attached (by aminoacyl-tRNA synthetases). tRNAs cope with the degeneracy of the genetic code in two manners: having more than one tRNA (with a specific anti-codon) for a particular amino acid; and 'wobble' base-pairing, i.e. permitting non-standard base-pairing at the 3rd anti-codon position. The record is from Rfam by way of RNAcentral. Lineage: Eukaryota; Metazoa; Chordata; Mammalia; Artiodactyla; Bovidae.
UCUUUGGUGGCUCAGAGGGUAAAGAGUCUGCUUGCAAUGCAGGAGAUCUGGGUUCGAUCCCCAGGUUGGGAA